This 8459-nucleotide long non-coding RNA is filed under the name Medicago truncatula (barrel medic). RNAcentral's name for it is "long non-coding RNA (MTRU_LNC007962)". The record is from RNAcentral. Lineage: Eukaryota; Viridiplantae; Streptophyta; Magnoliopsida; Fabales; Fabaceae.
GAGGUUCUCGUGGAAGUUUGCUUUGCGUUUGCGCAGAAUGCAUGCAAAAAGUGUUACUAUAUCUUCAACUCUUGCAUACUCACUCUUCCUAUUCACAUCUUCAUUUCUUGCAUAUUCAUCCUAGUUGCUAUUCAUACCUUCCAAAUUACAAAUCCAAGUCUUGAUGGGUUCUACUGUUAAUGAAGAAGAUAGUAACAAACCUCUUCAUAUUGUAAUGCUCCCAUGGCUAGCUAUGGGACAUAUAUACCCUUACUUUGAAGUAGCCAAAAUUCUAGCUUCAAAGGGUCACACUGUCACCUUCAUCAACUCCCCUAAAAACAUUGACCAAAUGCCAAAAACACCCAAAACCAUUGAACCAUUCAUCAAAUUGGUAAGAUUGCCUUUACCACACAUAGAGCAACUCCCACCAGGUGCAGAAAACACUAUGGACAUUCCAAUAAACAUGAACAAAUACCUUGAACUAGCCUAUCAAGGUCUUCAAGAUGAUGUUACUGAGAUUCUCAAAACAUCAAAACCUGAUUGGGUUUUCUAUGAUUAUGGUACUGUUUGGUUAGCACCAAUAGCUAAAAGCCUAAACAUAGCUUCUGUUCAUUACAGCAUAACACCAGCUUGGAACAUAUGUUUUUUUGAUCGACCUAAGGAUCAAAUCAAAACAAAUUUCGAAAUUCAAGACAUAUGUGGCCCACAUAAAUGGCUUCCUUUUCAAACAACUAUUCAUCUCAAACCUUAUGAGCUUAUUAGAGCUUUCACAGCUCUUAGAGAUGAAUCAGGUAACAUGCCUGAUUCUGGUCUCAACAAUGCUUAUUCAAGUUGUGAUCUUUUACUUCUCAGAACCUCGAGAGAGCUUGAAGGUGAAUGGUUGGAUUAUAUCUCUGAACAGUACAAUGUUCCUGUUGUUCCUGUUGGGUUGAUUCCACCUUCUAUGCAGAUAAGAGAUGAUGAAGAGGAAGAGAACAAUCCUGAUUGGGUGAAAAUCAAAGGGUGGUUGGAUUCAAGAGAAUCAUCUUCUGUUGUUUACAUUGGAUUUGGGAGUGAGUUGAAGUUGAGUCAGGAAGAUUUAACUGAGUUGGCUUAUGGAAUUGAGCUUUCUGGGUUGUCUUUCUUUUGGACUUUGAAGAAUCUGAAAGAGGGUACACUUGAAUUACCUGAAGGAUUCGAGGAAAGGACGAAAGAACGCGGAAUUGUUUGGAAGACAUGGGCACCUCAGCUUAAGAUCUUAGCUCAUGGAGCAAUUGGUGGAUGUAUGAGUCAUUGUGGUUCUGGUUCUGUUAUUGAAAAGGUUCAUUUUGGCCAUGUUCUUGUGACACUGCCUUAUUUGCUUGACCAGUGUUUGUUUUCAAGGGCAUUGGUGGAAAAGGAAGUGGCUGUUGAAGUACCAAGGAGUGAGGAAGAUGGGUCUUUUACUAGGGACUCUGUGGCUCACUCAUUGAGGUUGGCAAUUGUGGAUGAGGAAGGAAGUAGUUUCAGGAACAAUGCUAAAGAGUUGGGGAAGGUUUUCAGUUCAAAAGAUAUUCACAAUCAAUAUAUUGAUGACUUUAUUGCUGCUCUUUACAAGUAUAGGGUUCCUUCCAAUUCCAACAACUAAGUAGACUAGUAAUUUUGUAUCAUGUGUUUCCCUUCUUCUCAUAAUCAAUAUAUUUAUUGUGAUUUUUGUUUUGCAAUAAAAGGUUUUAUUUUAGUUUCCUUCUUCUCAGUUUUGUAACAAAAAUGUUAAUUGGCCAUCCUUCUAUAUCUGAUUUGUGAUAUGGCACUUUUUUUUACAAAAAAUUGUAUCUCUAGACUAAUCAUUCUCUUAAUUUCAUAUUGGUGAAAAUUGCUUCAAAGGACUGUAGUUGAUUAUCAAGUAUCAACUUCUGCAUUUGCAUAUCACAAACUUGGCAGCAGAAGUAGACUAGAAUUCAAUUAUGUGGUAUGAAAGUUUUACAUAAAUAAAGAUCAUAAAUGGUAUGCAUGUUUGAACAAAAUAACCAGAUCAUAAACCAAUUUUUUUUUUUUGUCAUUUUGUACACUUGUGACAUUGUGGUUGGCCAAUGUCGUCAGAUGACAUUGACACCCCAAUGUCACCCAAAUGUUUUCCGAAAAUGUGUUGGUGGGUAGAAGAAAUUCUAAUCUCUACCUAUGCUAUUUUGUAUUUAAUUCUUGGAUUCAUGAAUGUAAAAAAAAAAAUAUUACUAAGGAAGAAAAUUUACCUCUUAGUUAGAUGGCAAAAGAUGCUCUUAAUAUUCAACUGAAGUGCAAAUAAGAAAUUCAAGAACAGAUAUAAAUAAAUAAUAUAAAUCAAAACAAGGCACUUUGAAAACGACAACAAAAAAUUUGCUAAACUUUAAAAUUAAAAAAUUCUUAAUUGGCUCCCUCAAAAAAAAAAAAAAAAUUCUUAAUUGGCUCUCUAAACUUUUAAACAAAUUGUAAAUGGUCCCUACCUACAACAUAAUUAGCCCGAAGUUAAACAAGUACAUUGUUCACAAGUCAUAAUUCAACCGUUAAGAAUGUUGAAUUUUUUAGGUCAAACCUCAUGGUUUGAAUCCUGAUUUCUUUACUUAUAUGUGUGUCUAAUAAUUUUCAUUUCGUUUAUGAAAAAUAAAUAUAACCAAGCUAACAUUUAUUAUUAUUUAUUAUUUUGUCUUUCAUUUAUAUUCUUGCAUAAAUUUUGAUGAAGAGUUUUGACACUCAUCUCGGUUCUACCCAAUUAUUAUUAUUAUUGGUGCGUGUAGAUGAUAUCCGAUUCAGACCGCAGACUUGCCUAACCCCUAAAUAAACAAACAAAUGUGUGUCUCCUUGACUUACUCGUGCACAAUUUAGCGGAAUAAAUUAGUAGAUGCGCGUUUCGCAUGCCACUACCAUCCAUUUCUAUUUCUUCCCUAUAAUAAUAUGCCAUCAUCCUUCAAAAAAAGAAUAUGCCAUCUUUUUCAUGUAUUGCAGCAACAACAUUCAUUCAUUCAUGGAUAACAAGAAAAACAAACCUCUUCAUGUUGUCAUGUUUCCAUGGAUAGCCAUGGGACACAUGUACCCAUGUUUUGAGGUUUCCAAGAUUCUUUCACAAAAUGGUCACUUUGUCACACUCAUAUCUACUCCUUCAAUCAUAGAUCGUCUUCCUAAACUCUCACAAACCCUUUCACCAUUUUUUAAUCUCAUCAAACUUCCCUUAUCAUCUUACAUUGACAAAAACCAUCUUCCAACAAAUGCAGAUUCAACCAUGGACAUUCCCUCCAACAAACUCUAUUACCUUAAACUAGCCUAUGAUUCUCUUCAAGAAUCUGUAGCUGAGAUACUCAAAACUUCAAAUCCUGAUUGGGUUUUCUAUGAUUUUGCAGCUAGUUGGUUACCACAGUUAGCAAAAGGUUUGAAUUUGAACAUAUCAUGUUGUUAUUUCAGUCCUUGUCCUGCAUGGAGCAUAUGUUUCUUUGAUACACCAAAAAAACAACUUGGUGAUGAUUCUGCAGCUAUUAGAACAAAUGCAGAAGAUUACUAUGGUCCACCUAAAUGGAUUUCUUUUCCUACAAAGAUUGGUUUAAGGCCUUAUGAGGUAAGAAAAUUGCUUGAAGAUAUCAAAGUUAAUGAAACAGGGGCUUCCCCUGUUUUUGAUCUAAACAGAGCAAAUUCAGAUUGUGACAUGUUUGUUAUUAGAAGCUCAAGAGAUCUUGAAGGAGAAUGGUUAGAUUUUCUUGGUGAGUUUUACAACAAGCCUGUGAUUCCUGUUGGAUUGCUUCCACCAAGAAGAGAUUCUUCUGAUGAGGUAGAAGAUAGUCCUGAUUGGAUUCAAAUCAAAGCAUGGUUAGACACACAAAAGAGUUCAUCUGUUGUUUAUAUUGCAUUUGGGAGUGAGGUGAAAUUGAGCCAAGAAAAUCUCAAUGAAUUAGCUCUUGGGAUUGAGAAUUCUAAAUUACCUUUCUUUUGGGUUUUGAGAGAUUUGAAAAAUGGUUUUGUUGAGUUACCAAAUGGGUUUGAGGAUAGGACAAAAGAUCAUGGUAUAGUGUGGAAAAGUUGGGCCCCACAACCUAAGAUCUUAGGUCAUGGUUCAGUUGGUGGUUGUUUGACUCAUUGUGGUUCAGGUUCAAUGAUAGAAAAUCUUUAUUUUGGACAUGUUCUUGUUAUGUUGCCUUUUUUAUUGGAUCAAGCUUUGUAUUCAAGAGUAAUGCAAGAGAAGAAAGUUGGAAUUGAGAUAGUGAGGAAUGAAGAAGAUGGAUCAUUUACAAGGAAUUCAGUUGCUAAGGCAUUGAGAUUUACCAUGGUUGAUGAAGAGGGAAGUGAUUAUAGGAAGAAUGCUAAAGAGAUAGGGAAGAAAUUUAGUAACAAGGAGCUUCAUAAUCAAUACAUUGAAAACUUCAUUUCUUCACUUCAAAAUCACAAUUCAUAGGAAUGUUUAGAAGUAAUUAAGUAAACAUUCAUUUGAAUUGAAAUAAAAACCUUUGAUUCAACUUGUGGAGAUAGGACAAAAAGGUUGUUAUUUGUUUGUGUGUAGGGCAUAUCUGUUCACUUGCCUCACCUUAAUUCUUUCAGGUCAUUGCCAUUAAUUUCUACAUUUGACCAAUUUGUAAGCAUCAGCCCUUUAGAAAUUCAAUAUACAUAAAUUGGUGGGGUGAAUCAAAUCUAAAAUUUUAGUGUGAUACAAAUUUGUAUUCCUUCCAAUCACAUUUAUAAUCAAAAAACAUUUUCUUAGGUUUAUUGAAUGAAUAGUCAAUGUAUCUGGUCUAUAAAUAUGAUCAGAUACAUAAAUUAUUCAAUGAAUCUAAAAUAUUAUUUUUUAGUUAUAAAUGUGACGGAGGGAGUAAUUUCUUCAUAUAAUAUUCUUGUUGAAUGUGAAACUUAGUCGAUGAUUCGGUUAAUAGUCUUAUUAACGAUUCACUUUUUCUUAAAAUGAUUAAGCCGGUAUAAAUGAAUUUCGUCUCUAUGCUAUGAGAUUUUAACUACUUCAAAGAGUAUUAGUUCUUCAAACGAUUAGGUCAAUAGAAAAGAACUGCGUCAAUGCUACGAGUCCUUUAACUACUUCAAAGAGUAUUAAAUGGGGUAAAUAAUUUUAAGAACUAAAAUGCGAAGAAAAAUAUAAGUAAAAUGUUAGAGGCAUAUAAACAUAAAAUAAGUUGUUUGAUUGAUUGAGUGUGUCGAUGGUAAAAUUUACAAGUGAUAGUUACAAACCAAGAUACUAGAGUCUAUAUGCUAUGAGAUUUUUUUUUUGUGCUAAAAAAAAAAAUUUACAAACCAAGAUACUAGAGUCUAUGUCCUAUCAUCCAUGAUCUUGACCAACUAAAAUAGUGCCCUCAUUUCUCUCAAAAAAAAAAAAAAUAGUGCCCUCAUCGUUACUCGACUAUAUAAACUAUAGUCACAUGAUCGUGUGCAUGCUUCCUAAAAAAAUUGUUGUGGGGAUUAUCCCUUAUUUUCUUAAAUAAAUAAAUUUAAUGACAAGAAGUGGACGAUAUUAAGUCCUCUAAAAAAAUGGACGUUAAGGAUGAAUUAUUGGCAUGCUCUGAGUUAGAACCCUUCUUAUUGCAGCAAUGACUAGAAUGACUCUUUUCAGAGUCAAGUUAAAAUCAAUUUUAACACCUUCAAAACAAUUAUACAUAAGUAAAAAAAUCAAUUUUGACACCUUCAAAAUUGAAACAUACUUGAAGAAUAAGUUUGUGUCUAAAAAACAAUUUUAGAAUCAAGAGAUCUAGAUUCUUGCUUCAAGUUAAAAUUAAUUCUCCAAUUCUAAAUACAAAAUCAAUUUUUCAAAAAGAGUAACCAACAACAACAUCAACAAUCAAGUCUUUUUUCAUUAAGUGGGGUCGGCUACUUCAAAAGAGUAAUCAAAUAUAUCAAAAUCUAUUACUCCCUCCGUCCCUAAUUAUAAGAUCCUUUGGAGAAUUUUUUUUGUCCCUUUUUAUAAGACCCCUUUGUUAUUUCCAACUACAUUAAUUAUUUCUUUACAUACAUGCCCCUAUUUAUUAUACAUCUUUUUCUUCAAUCAGCAAUAAGUAGCAUAUGGAAAACAUAAACUAACUCUCUCUCUUAAGGAUAAAAUUGUAAAAACAAUAGUGAUUACAAACAACUUUAAUACAAAUAUCCGCUUUCUUAAUUCCCGUAAUUUUAGCAAAAGAGUCUUAUAAUUAGGGACGGAGGGAGUAUAAAAUUUAUCCCUAAUAAUCAAACCAAACAUAGUUGAAUAUACUCCAUCCGUUUCAAAAUGAGUGUCACUUUAGCAAAAAAAAAAUUGUUUCAAAAUGAAUGUCACUUUGCAUUUCCAAUACAACUUUAAUUUUUUUCUCCCAAUUUUACCCUCAAUAAAUACUUCAACUUUUCUCUUAAACAAUUUUCAAUGCAACUUUAAGUUUGUCUUUUUCUUGUGCAGUUUAGUAAAAGUGUCAUGGCUAAUGAUUAUUUUAUUCCAUUACUUAAUUUGUGUGCAAUUAACUAAAACGACAUUCAUUUUAAAAAAGAUGGUGUAAAUUUCUUGCGGUCAACAAAGGCCGCAUUCACGACAUUAUUGAUCGUUGGGUCGAGAUUAGAUUUCUAACAAUUUUUUUUUUAUUUUUAAAAAACUACUGAAAUCUAAUAUUUAAUUUCUGCAAUGCUGGAUCUUGAUAUAAUGGUCAUCAAUGUUAGAAUGGUUUUUUAUGACCGCAAGGAAUCCAUAUUUUACAUAGUCACCGUAAUAUUGACUUCAACAACGUUAGAAUUUCUCAGCAAACAGCCAAGCACCACCACGUGACAAGAGAGAAGAACCAACACCAACAGUGAAAGAAUCAAUCCCAAAAGGCCAAAACACAAUCUUCUUUCUAUUUUACACUAAAAUAAUCAUUGCAUGGCUCUCGUGGAAGAGCAUAGCCUCCUCGUGGAAAUAAAAUAACGUUGGAUUGGAUGUGUUUUUUACAAGUAAUAAUAUAUUUGAAUGCGUGUCACACGUGGCAGUGAUUGUUUAUACAAAAAUAACUUUAUAUUAAUUAAAAAAAAUAACUUUAUAUUAAUUAAGACUUCGACUGCUACUAUAUCUUCAACUCUUGCAUACUCUUCCUAAUCAUAUCUUCAACUUUUACAUAUUCUUUCUACUCAUACAUACCAAACAAAUCCAAGUCUCCAUGGGUUCAAUUGCUAAUGAAGAUAGCAACAAACCUCUUCAUAUUGUAAUGCUCCCAUGGCUGGCUAUGGGACACAUAUACCCUUACUUUGAAGUAGCCAAAAUUCUAGCUUCAAAGGGUCACACUGUCACCUUCAUCAACUCCCCUAAAAACAUUGACCAAAUGCCAAAAACACCCAAAACCAUUGAACCAUUCAUUAAAUUGGUAAGAUUGCCUUUACCACACAUAGAGCAACUCCCACCAGGCGCAGAAAACACUAUGGACAUUCAACCAAACAUGAACCGUUUCCUUAAGCAAGCCUAUGAAGGUCUUCAAGAUGAUGUUACUGAGAUUCUCAAAACAUCAAAACCUGAUUGGGUUUUCUAUGAUUUUGCAAGUGGUUGGUUGGCACCAAUAGCUAAAAGCCUCAACAUAGCUGCUGCUCAUUACAACAUAACACCAGCUUGGAACAAAUGUUUCUUUGAUCCACCAAAGGAUCAAGUCAAAACAAAUUUCAAACUUGAAGACAUGUGUGGCCCACCAAAAUGGGUUCCUUUUCAAACAACCAUUCAUCUCAAACCUUAUGAGAUUAUUCGAGCUUUUACAGCUCUUAGAAAUGAAUCAGGUGGAAUAGCUGGUUUUGAUCUCAACAAAGCUUAUUCGAGUUGUGAUCUUUUUCUUCUCAGAACCUCAAGAGAACUUGAAGGUGAAUGGUUGGAUUAUAUCUCUGAACAGUACAAGGUUCCUGUCGUUCCUGUUGGGUUGCUUCCACCAUCUAUGCAGAUAAGAGACGAUGAAGAGGAAGAGAACAAUCCUGAUUGGGUGAAAAUCAAAGGGUGGUUGGAUUCAAGAGAAUCAUCUUCUGUUGUUUACAUUGGAUUUGGGAGUGAGUUGAAGUUGAGUCAGAAUGAUUUAACUGAGUUGGCUCAUGGAAUUGAGCUUUCUGGGUUGUCUUUCUUUUGGGCUUUGAAGAAUCUGAAAGAGGGUACACUUGAAUUACCUGAAGGAUUUGAGGAAAGAACGAAAGAACGCGGAAUUGUUUGGAAGACAUGGGCACCUCAGCUUAAAAUCUUAGCUCAUGGAGCAAUUGGUGGAUGUAUGAGUCACUGUGGUUCUGGUUCUGUUAUUGAGAAGGUUCAUUUCGGCCAUGUUCUUGUGACACUGCCUUAUUUGCUUGACCAAUGUUUGUUUUCAAGGGCAUUGGUGGAAAAGGGAGUGGCUGUUGAGGUACCAAGGAGUGAGGAAGAUGGGUCUUUUACUAGGGACUCUGUGGCUCACUCAUUGAGGUUGGCAAUUGUGGAUGAGGAAGGAAGUAGUUUCAGGAACAAUGCUAAAGAGUUGGGGAAAGUUUUCAGUUCAAAAGAUAUUCAUAAUCAAUAUAUUGAUGAUCUCAUUGCUGCUCUUUACAAGUAUAGGAAUCCUUCCAAU